AGUCGAGCGAGUCUGCCUUGAAGAUCGGAGUGCUUGCACUCUGUGAAACAAGAUACAGGCUAGCGGCGGACGGGUGAGUAACACGUGGGUAACCUGCCCAAGAGAUCGGGAUAACACCUGGAAACAGAUGCUAAUACCGGAUAACAACAGAUGAUGCCUAUCAACUGUUUAAAAGAUGGUUCUGCUAUCACUCUUGGAUGGACCUGCGGUGCAUUAGCUAGUUGGUAGGGUAACGGCCUACCAAGGCGAUGAUGCAUAGCCGAGUUGAGAGACUGAUCGGCCACAUUGGGACUGAGACACGGCCCAAACUCCUACGGGAGGCAGCAGUAGGGAAUCUUCCACAAUGGACGCAAGUCUGAUGGAGCAACGCCGCGUGAGUGAAGAAGGGUUUCGGCUCGUAAAGCUCUGUUGUUGGUGAAGAAGGACGGGGGUAGUAACUGACCUUUGUUUGACGGUAAUCAAUUAGAAAGUCACGGCUAACUACGUGCCAGCAGCCGCGGUAAUACGUAGGUGGCAAGCGUUGUCCGGAUUUAUUGGGCGUAAAGCGAGUGCAGGCGGUUCGAUAAGUCUGAUGUGAAAGCCCUCGGCUCAACCGGAGAAUUGCAUCAGAAACUGUCGAGCUUGAGUACAGAAGAGGAGAGUGGAACUCCAUGUGUAGCGGUGAAAUGCGUAGAUAUAUGGAAGAACACCGGUGGCGAAGGCGGCUCUCUGGUCUGUUACUGACGCUGAGGCUCGAAAGCAUGGGUAGCGAACAGGAUUAGAUACCCUGGUAGUCCAUGCCGUAAACGAUGAGUGCUAAGUGUUGGGAGGUUUCCGCCUCUCAGUGCUGCAGCUAACGCAUUAAGCACUC
This 850-nucleotide ribosomal RNA is filed under the name uncultured bacterium. RNAcentral's name for it is "bacterial SSU rRNA". It matches the Rfam family "Bacterial small subunit ribosomal RNA", at positions 60 to 869 of the family's 1533-position model. The record is from RNAcentral.